UCUACCUCUUCUUUCUCAUGCCGGUUUUUAUCUACUGUUGCUCGUCCGCCGAAAUGGGCUCAUUUGCCGCUCUCGAGUUUUUUCGUUCGAGUUUUGUUCCAAUAUAUAGUCUAUUUACUAUCUCCGGAGAUCAGAAGUAAACAUUCUUGUAUGGGUUGAUCGGAAGCUUUGCAAGGCAGGCUUAUUAGACAGGCUGGAGAAGUACUCCCCGCAUUCACCUUAUUCGCGCCGUACACGUGCGGUUCGGUGCCAAUAGCAUAUCCGUUUGCUGUAGCACGUGACCCUUUUGGCGCUGCCUCCCGAGUUUUAUUCGUUGGCUUUCACGACAAUAAAUAAAAGAAUCGAAUAUUUCCGU
Non-coding RNA from Musa acuminata subsp. malaccensis (wild Malaysian banana), 355 nucleotides. The record is from RefSeq and is a predicted model, not a curated record. Lineage: Eukaryota; Viridiplantae; Streptophyta; Magnoliopsida; Zingiberales; Musaceae.